UAAUAAACAUGGCAGAAGCCUAUUAGGUCUCUCUCUCUCCUUCACUUUUUCUCUCUCUUUAUCUUUCACUUUCUCUCUCUCGCUGUCUCUCUCUCUCUCUCUCUCUCUCUCUCUCUCUCUCUCUCUCUCUCUCUCUCUCUCUCCCCCCCUUCUUUGUCUUUUGCACAAACACAGCCAGUUGUGUUUUUCCUUUUUUUACAAAUGUGUUGCAGACACAGUCACGUAGCUACUUCCUGUUCUCUCAGUAACAGUAUGGCAGAGAGAGAGGAAGUACGACUAAAACCACAACUCUUGAGAAAAGGUAUCCCUCACUUCACCAGAAGGACCCCCCCACUCUCUUGAUUCGCUUGAGACAGAGAAGAGACGUGAAGAAAGAGGUAAGUAAAAGCUGUUCAUCUUGAGGUGAAACACCGGAAAAGGUCUCCUUGUGAAGUAAUGGUUAUUUUAAUGAAUAUAGCUUUGUCCUUCUACUAUUUCUAUAUAAUUCUAUUUUAAAUUAGUCUCGUAUGUAAAAUAAAUACUGUACAGUUACCUAUAUAUUUAUCAUGUUUUGAUGUGUUUCUGACCUGGAUUUGUUUGUAACACAUGCAUGUUUUUGUACGGUGUGUGUGUGUGUAUGUGUGUAUGUGUGUGUGUGUGUGUGUGUGUGUGUGUGUGUGUGUGUGUGUGUGUGUGUAUGUGUGUGUGUGUGUGUGUGUGUGUGUGUGUGUGUGUGUGUGUGUGUGUGUGUGUGUGUGUGUGUGUGUGUGUGUGUGUGUGUGUGUGUGUGUGUGUGUGUGUGUGUGUGUGUGUGUGUGUGUGUGUGUGUGUGUGUGUGUGUGUGUGUGUGUGUGUGUGUAUGUGUGUGUGUGUGUGUGUGUGUGUGUGUGUGUGUGUGUGUGUGUGUGUGUGUGUGUGUGUGUGUGCAUAACACACCUGUCCUUCUCUACUCCAGAUGCUACAUUUGUGGAUGAUAACAGGGCGGACCUCAUUCAGAGGGUUACCACGGUGAAACUCAUAGCAGAAACACUUCUCCAGUGGCGUAUGAUCCACAAAGAGGCGUACCUUAAGAUCCUUGCUGCCCAGACCACACCAGAUCAGAUGAGGGAGCUGUACAACGUCUUAAACACAGACAAAGUCAAAUCAGCCUUCUAUAGGCUCCUUCAGAAGGAAGAGCCUUAUUUGGUCCAGGUGCCAGGUAGGUUAUACGGUCUGAUGUACCACGGCUGUCAUCCAAUCAGAAUUAAGGGCUCGAACCACCCAUUUUAUGUCUGAUAUACCACAGCUUUUAACCAAUCAGCAUCCAGAACCCAAACCACCCAGUUUAUAACAACGAUAAUAUUAUAAUACAUGAAGGCACAAUUUAUAGUACAAUAUGUACGUGUGUUUUGUAAAUUGUGCACAGUAUUUAGCAAUAAUAAUUAACCAGUUGUGAUGUGUGAUGUGUAAUGUGUAAUGUGUGAGUGUGAGUGUGUGUGUGUGUGUGUGUGUGUGUGUGUGUGUGUGUGUGUGUGUGUGUGUGUGUGAGUGUGAGUGUGUGUGUGUGUGUGUGUGUGUAUGUGAGU
Long non-coding RNA from Oncorhynchus tshawytscha (Chinook salmon), 1544 nucleotides. NCBI's taxonomy places the organism in Eukaryota, Metazoa, Chordata, Actinopteri, Salmoniformes, Salmonidae. The record is from Ensembl.